Long non-coding RNA from Monopterus albus (swamp eel), 2061 nucleotides. RefSeq lists it as uncharacterized. NCBI's taxonomy places the organism in Eukaryota, Metazoa, Chordata, Actinopteri, Synbranchiformes, Synbranchidae. The transcript has 11 exons. The record is from RefSeq and is a predicted model, not a curated record.
CAAAGCAAAACAGGAAGUUGAAGCGGGUAUACAUUUUAUUUUCGCCGAGGAAGAAGUCUAACAAAAAACAAUCACAUAUCGCAAACCCCUCCUUUUUGCGUUUUUAUUUUUUUAUUUUUAGCGCAAAUUUCUCCAUUAUCGCACAGUUUUGACUAGAAGGACAUCAUGCCCGUCAUUUGUGCGGCAAUAGGGUGCAACAAUAAGUUUGUCAAAGGGUCGGAAAUAAGAUUUUACAGCCUAAAGAUGAGGACGUGGUUGGGCAGGAUAUUUGAGCCAUCCUGAAAUGUCAAAAGUACCCUGCCAUUAAAAAGAUUUCAUUCCUAAUGGGUGGAACAAGGUCUACGGACUCGAACCUGAGAGCUGUGGGCAGAUGGAUGAAGCAUCGGACCAGAACAGCAUGUCAAAAGUGGACAACGUGAACAGCACUGCAGCAGCACGUCAUCCACAGCAGGAACAGUGAUGAGCACUGUGUACCCUUGGGAGGCAUUUUGAAUCUCGAGCUGCAUUGUGAGCUUAUUACUGGCGAGUCCUGUCACAAAUGGCAGCAGCGGGAGCCCUGAACUCAUUCUGGUCGCCAUCUCACAACCCUUUCAUGCCAGACUGGUGACCUGGGAAACAUCCAGCCGGGUACGAAAUCUCCUUAGACAGCAGAGGAAAAGAUGGAGCAAGUACUGUGUUUAGACAAAGGAAAAGAAAGAGGGAGAGCGAGAUCCUUCCCCUGGCCAUGUAGCUGCAACAUUAAAGUGAAUGAUGACUUUAAGCAGUAUAUUUGAUCCCAUCUGUGCUGAGCUUGGCAGCGUGAUGUGCUCGGAUGCUGCUACCCUGACUGUCAAUGAGAAGCUCCAGCUUGAGAUGCCAGGCCCUCAAAGACUUGAAGUGCACUGAGAGAGAGAGAGAGAGAGAUAAGGCCACAGAAUGGUGAAGGGACGCCUGAAGGUAUCAGGCCACAGAAAACAGUGGACGACAGAAGGGAAUUCCUUGCACUGUGUAGUCUUGGGUGUGUUGUGAGAAGGAUCCACACUGGGCUGCGCCCCUAUCACUACUAUGCACUGACAAGUUGAUCAGAUCCUGUUCCUUCAAACGGCCAAUAAUAAGACAUCUACAGCCCCGGAGUUCCUCCUCGAAGCUGCAAAGAAACACAACUUUACAUCCAGAGUCAGGGGAACAGGCAGUUAAGAAUGUGGACAUUCAAGGCUGUGGUAGGGGACACGUCAUCUCAGGGAAAGGUGUCCCCAACCAAAGGAUGUUUUAAGCUGCAUAUUUGCUGCGGGAUGGAACAACCCUUCACUCUGAACAGAAUGCAGUUCCGCCUCAAACCGACCGUGGGAAAUUGGGACGUUCUGACAACUCUCCUGAGAACAAUGAGGGAGACCAGUUUCCAGAUGUGGACAGUGAAGAAACUGGAAGAGCAACCCCCUUGCAUCAUAAUGUUAAACAAAUUACACAUCAGACCCAGACAGUUUUAGAGUUGUAAUGAUUUUAUUACAGUAAUAUACACACACACACGCCCCCAUACUUAGUCCUUGAGGGGCAAUUUGUUGUGCAGCCAGUUUGUUCUCUACGGAGCCAGAUGCUAUUGCUUAUUGCACGGGUGUAGUGUCCAGCAACCACUGGUAAACAAAGACUAUGCUCUCAAAAAUUCUUGAUUUGUUUGCCAAACUGGGUCUAAAUAAGAACCUAAUUUAUCAAGGCAGACUACCUCUCGUGUUGCAUUGCAUGUGCCUGGACACUUGCACAGUUAUAAAGCCUUCUCCAGUCAUGCAACUGCAUGAGAACUUACAUGACUGGAUAGGUCUUAAUAACUGUGCAAGUGUCCAGGCACAUGCGAUACUAAAUGAGGUAGGAGGUACCUUGCUCAUGCUGGUAGGGACUUUCCCAUCUGGGAUCAAGUGGCUGCAAAAAGAAAUGUGUAAUUAUUCUGUAGUAAUUUUGUAUUCAUAAUUUCAUUAAUAAACAGUCCAUUUUCUACAAACUUGCCUGUCUCCAUGGAUGUCCUCAUAAUUCUGUAACUAGACAGUCUGGGUGAGGAUUGCCUAACUGGGAAAACACACAAAGUGAGAU